CUCUGAGACAGGUGCUGCAUGGCUGUCGUCAGCUCGUGUUGUGAAAUGUUGGGUUAAGUCCCGCAACGAGCGCAACCCUUAUCCUUUGUUGCCAGCGAUUCGGUCGGGAACUCAAAGGAGACUGCCGGUGAUAAACCGGAGGAAGGUGGGGAUGACGUCAAGUCAUCAUGGCCCUUACGAGUAGGGCUACACACGUGCUACAAUGGCGUAUACAAAGAGAAGCGACCUCGCGAGAGCAAGCGGAACUCAUAAAGUACGUCGUAGUCCGGAUUGGAGUCUGCAACUCGACUCCAUGAAGUCGGAAUCGCUAGUAAUCGUAGAUCAGAAUGCUACGGUGAAUACGUUCCCGGGCCUUGUACACACCGCCCGUCACACCAUGGGAGUGGGUUGCAAAAGAAGUAGGUAGCUUAACCUUCGGGAGGGCGCUUACCACUUUGUGAUCCAUGACUGGGGUGAAGUCGUAACAAGGUAACCGUAGGGGAACCUGCGGUUGGAUCACCUCCUUA
Molecule: ribosomal RNA, 506 nt
Filed under: Providencia stuartii
Lineage: Bacteria; Pseudomonadati; Pseudomonadota; Gammaproteobacteria; Enterobacterales; Morganellaceae
Description: bacterial SSU rRNA
Rfam family: Bacterial small subunit ribosomal RNA
Source: RNAcentral